Molecule: ribosomal RNA, 184 nt
Filed under: uncultured fungus
Lineage: Eukaryota; Fungi
Description: 5.8S ribosomal RNA
Rfam family: 5.8S ribosomal RNA (bases 17-170)
About the family: 5.8S ribosomal RNA (5.8S rRNA) is a component of the large subunit of the eukaryotic ribosome. It is transcribed by RNA polymerase I as part of the 45S precursor that also contains 18S and 28S rRNA. Functionally, it is thought that 5.8S rRNA may be involved in ribosome translocation.
Source: RNAcentral
AAACUUAAUGUAAUACAACCAUCAGCAACGGAUCUCUUGGCAUUCCAAUCGAUGAAGAACGUAGCGAAUUGCGAUAAGUAAUGUGAAUUGCAGAAUUCAGUGAAUCAUCGAGUCUUUGAACGCACCUUGCACCCUCUGGUAUUCCGGAGGGUAUGCCCGGUUGAGAGUUUUGAAUAUCUCAAUU